RNAcentral lists this long non-coding RNA (1192 nucleotides) under Nothobranchius furzeri (turquoise killifish). RNAcentral's name for it is "lncRNA (ENSNFUG00015009775.1)". The record is from RNAcentral. Lineage: Eukaryota; Metazoa; Chordata; Actinopteri; Cyprinodontiformes; Nothobranchiidae.
UCACUAUAGAGCGGUGAAGUCGACUAGUGACUAGUUCACACAACCCCUACUGCUCCCCAGAGUGUUCUGCAGCAUAAUCAGCACGUUCUCUUUGAACUUGAUAUCAAAUUUUUGCCUCCUCUUCGUCUUCGCAUGGUUAAAGUUACCCUCGCGGUCUUUCACUGGCAAAUCAAAAGUGAGACGGAUGACACAACCGCCCCCCGUACUUGCUUGUUACCACAUUCCACCCGGCCACAAUAAAAAAAAAAAAAAGGCCAUUAUUCACCUCCGCCGACUCCGACACCGGCCAAAAUAUGAUACCCAGCAGUUAAUUAAAUACAGGCUAAUAUUAGAGGACUUACGGUAGUAUGAUAAGAAAGUCUAAAGAUUAAUCUGGGAUGGGGUUUUCCCCCCCCUUUUAUUUCUCCUGAUUUCUUGAAAUGCAAUCUGAUGAUGUUAUAUAGUGCUACAAUGAAACUGCAAAAUUAAGUAUUUACUUGUUAAACUUUGGCAUGCUGCUAGGCAGCUGACUCUAUAUUAUUCUAUAUUUUGUGAGUUAACACAGUUUAUUUUAUUGUUAUGAUUUAUUUACUUGUGUGAGUGGGGCUGACAUAUAUAUGUCAUUUAAGCAUUGCAAGUUGUAUUAUUUUGUGUAAAAUCAUUUUCUUUUAAAAUGAACGAAAUGAAUAAAUAAAUAAAAUUUAGCGACUUUGGAGAGGAAAACCUCCAGUAUGUGCAGCCACUAACCACGACUCACUAGAGGUUUGAGAAAACAGCAGCCAUUCCUCCCCAUCCCCGCAUAUUUCUCUCCUCCUGCUCCCUCACAUCAUCACACAAACAUACACAUAGGACCUUGGGGGGUGGGCAAGUCAGGGAGUGCGGGCAUGGACCCCAUUUCCUCAUUCCUGUGGCAACCUGCCCCCCAAUUUUAUUUGCACCUUAUACACUUCCACUGACGACAUUCCACACAAACACACACUUAGGGCCUUGGGAGUGAGCACAUUCAACGGCAUUUGGCAGGGGGAUAUUUCAGCCUCCUCCGAGUGCCGGUGCCCACUUCCAAUUUUAAACCGCGCUUAGACACUGAUGGCUGAGGGUGUAAGUGGGGUGGUGCGGUGGCAUCAGCUGGCAUAUGCCGGAUGAUGCCCGCACUGCCCACUCACCACAGCCAUGGAAUACACCUCAUGAUCACACAACACUAUAUUGGAGCAGG